CCUGCAGGAGGAAGUGUCACGGCAGCCAGGCCCAGCCCGCCCUGCACCCAGCAGCGCCCCCCACAGCACACCCAGGGCCCCCUCCUGAGACCCCCACCACAGCCUAGGGGAUCCUCAACAUUCCUGCAGGACUUAGCCCUCCGCGGGACCAGCACAUCCACUUUACAGCUGACACAAAUUCAGAGAUGACACUUUUUGGCCAUCUUAUUGGUCAUGUGACCUUGGGCAGAAGGAAAAUGCUAAUCCAUGACCAGUAUUUUCUAGAGCACCAGAUCUUUAGUCCGCCCGCAGGGACCAAUGCUGGAAGUCCAGUCCGCGAGGGCCAAUUGUUACUAUGUGGUCUGUAGUAAGGGUACCUUCCCGGGGUCAGAUAAAGCAUGAACUAGACAUGUCUCUCCCCUUCUGUGCCCGCUACAUCCCACUCAGGCUGGACCCACUGGGCAUUCUGGAGCUUUUACUCUGUGCCCGGCCCUUCGGUAAGUACUUUCAGUGCAUUCUCAUUUAUUCCUUAACUUCACUUUACAGAUAAAGAAUCUGAGGCAUUAAGUAACUUGCCUCAGUGCCACCGCUGAUAGGAGCUGCCAGGAUUCAAACCCAGCUGUGCGGCUCCACCAUCUUAACCAGGACGCAGCCCUGCCCACGGCAAACCACCUGAGGCCGUUUGACUGGUGAUGCCAGGCAUCACUCGGAGGACUGGCCGAGUUUUGUCUCUUUUUCUAAAAGGGCGCCCUGGACUUCUUCUAGACUGUAACAAUAAACAGCCCUUUUUGAUAUUCCAAAGAAACAUGAUUACAACAGUACUGGAAGACAUGUGGAGAUGUGCCCCCACGCCCCACCCCCCCAGCCCAGGGUGCUGAUUUGAAAGUAAUGCUAAUCGCUGCCCCCCUCUCCCCCAAGAGCACAGGAAGAUCUGCAGAAGGUCUCAAAUGGACAUUCCUUCUAAAAUAGCUACAGAUUUACAGCCAUACAGCUGGAUUCUCAUAGAUCCUGCACUGGGUGCAGACUCCUGUCCUGGCCCUACACCUACCCGGCUGGAAGUAGUCCCUGGACGGCUCCCAUGUGAUGAGACUGUUGAACAAGCUGCUCUACAUCCGUCCUCUAUGAUUCUAUGAAGCAAACAACUCAAUGACCGGGUAACAGAUCUUUCACAGGUGGCUGGUCUUUGUUAUCCGAUUAUUGAAAAGAAUUUUUGGCAUAUUAACUUGGAUGGAGCUCAAAUGACUAAAUGCGAGUACUCGAACAAAACUUCCAUUGCCAUUACUUACUAUGUGAUUAAGAUUCCUCAGCAUUUAUAUCAAUAAAAACAGAAAAUGGAAUAGAA
Myotis myotis is the source of this 1321-nucleotide long non-coding RNA. RefSeq lists it as uncharacterized. Lineage: Eukaryota; Metazoa; Chordata; Mammalia; Chiroptera; Vespertilionidae. The transcript is spliced from 3 exons. The record is from RefSeq and is a predicted model, not a curated record.